CUCGCAACGCAGAGACUCAUACAGAGCUAAUAACUACCCAACCACCAGCUAUGCCCCCAAACACACAGAACAUGCUCCACAACACGUCUGUGAGCCUCACAACGCCUAGCCUGUCCUUAAUACCCACCUCAGCCUACGAUGUCACACAUGCUCCAUGGCAGGCCUCCCACCCUAGCCCGUGCAGCGGUAUCGCAACGCAGAGAUGUGCCUCGCAUGUAAACGUUCUCCCCAGAAUGCCAACGCUUGCUCUGUAAGGCAUCCAGUAUGACUGUAACACCUAGAUUUGCCUCCAGACUCAGGCUUGCACCACAAUACUCCCCCAGUGCCUCACAAUACCUACCACGAAUGUAGAGUGGACGGACCUGCCCCACAAUGUCCAGACUUAGAAAACCAAGACAUGCCCUAUCGGCCACAGGUUCCACAAAGCAAAAAUCUCCCUGUUGCACAGCCCAACUCUACAUCAUAUAGUCACCCCCCCCCCCCCACGGUAGGAACAGACCUCAAAUAUUCAGUCACAAAUUCAGUCUUGCCACACAACACUGACAGGUGUCUUACGACUCACACACGAGUUCCACGAUACCUAGACACAGCUAACUUACAAUGGACAGGUAUACGCUGUGACACAAAGGUUUCUCCCCGAAACACCAGAUUGCAUUCUGAUGCACAGAAUCCCCCCCAAACACACACACACAUGCACUCAUAGUGCCACAGGUGUUUACACUGACACAGAACUACGGGUGUAUCAGAAUCCCACAGACCAUACGUUCUUUCAGCCACAGCCAAAGACAUAUGUUUGCGCAAGUAUGAACAUAUAACCAGAGUUCCAGCAAGGACCACCUCAUGUUUAUGCAGAUACACGUAUACAUACACACAGAUGCAUACAAACACCCACAGUUUGGUGUGUAGGCACAAAGCAACAUGCAGUCACAGAUGCACACUCCACACUCGCACAGGCCCAGAGAAGCACGCAGAGACACAUGCAUGCCAACCUAGGCGUCCAGAGGAUGUGUUUACUGAUUCAUAACCUCAAAGAUGCAAGAACACAAAUGCAUGCACACACGCGCACACACACACACACACACACACACACACACACACACACACGGAAAGACGCAUAAAUGCUUCUAGAGGCUCAUGAGGUGUGGACUCAUCCUCAGACACCCCCAGACAUUUAUGGAGAAAUGUAGACAAGUACAUAUGAGCCCACACAGACACAUAGGCAUUUGCAUGUGUGCACACAGAGCCACAGGCAGGUGCAUGGAGUCAUCCGUAUGCAGACACAGGCGUAUGCAUGUUCAUUGCUACGCAGAGACAUAGAGACAUUUAUAAAAAACUGAAAUAUGGAGAUGUAUUCAUAAGGAGACACGUGUGUUUUAAACACGUAUCUGGCAUCUUUAUGCUCAUAGAGUCACAUGAAUUUACACACAGAGGCAAGUUGUUAUUAAAACACACCUGCAUACACAUGGUCCUGCCUGGACCUGCAACCUGGGUGCUCAUGCUGACCAUGAAAACCUAGAAACAUGCCCACAUGCACAUGUAUAGAAAUGUACCUGGGGAAGCACGUGGGGAUAUUCGUGCAUAUGGGUGUGCGUAUGGAACCACACAAGCAUGCCGUGUGCACACAUAGAUGCACUCGUACAUGGAGACAUACACAUGCACACAGACAAAACAGAGAUGGACCCAUGAAGACAUCUCUGCAUGAAUAUGAGCAGACACAUUUAGAGAGAGACGUUUAUAUACAGAGAGAGAUGCCUCCCGUGUAGAUACAGGGGAGAGGAGAGGGAGCGGGGAGACGGAGGUUGGUCGGCUUGGCAGAGACACUUUCUUAUGCAGAAGCUCACACCUACACACAGAGACACACAGGCCUAGAGACCCAUACGAAGAUGUGCACAGGCGAACACAGCUGCACUCACACACUCACUCAGAUGCACGAGAGGAGCAAAGUCACACACACACAUGCAGAAACUCAGGUAUAUUCACGGAGACCCAGGCAAGUGCACAGAGACAGAGAUGUACGUGGAUCCUCACCCAUACGGACUCACAAAGAUACAGACUCAGAAGCUUGUGCAGGUGCCUGCGGGGACAGGUACACAGGUUUGUACACUUACAGACAUUGAGCACGGAUGUACUGAUAGAUGAGGAGACCCACAGACAUACCUGAACAAACGCAGAGGCACACAGGGACCUCCAUGUGCUGCAGGUGCAGCCCUAAAAAGACAAAAAAAGAAAAA
RNAcentral lists this long non-coding RNA (2231 nucleotides) under Sus scrofa (pig). RNAcentral's name for it is "lncRNA (ENSSSCG00005012017.1)". The record is from RNAcentral. Lineage: Eukaryota; Metazoa; Chordata; Mammalia; Artiodactyla; Suidae.